RNAcentral lists this long non-coding RNA (1386 nucleotides) under Homo sapiens (human). RNAcentral describes it as "HSALNT0353387". The record is from RNAcentral. Lineage: Eukaryota; Metazoa; Chordata; Mammalia; Primates; Hominidae.
CAAUGAGCUGACUGCAGGUCCCCCUGGCCCCUGCUCUGUAAUACAGUUUCUUAGAUGGUAAACAGCACUCGAAGUUGAGAGUGAAUGUGGACAAAGGGGAGACUGAAUCGCAGCUCUCAGAGUUUAUUAACAUCUGCUCAGUGCCUCUGAGGCCAGUUCUCAGAAUCCAAAGCAGAAGGGUGUGAAAAUCAAUCACCCAUGAUUUUACCCCUGCCAGGUCAACUCCAAGGGGUUUUAAUAUGCAUAUAUGAAGUGUGUCUCUCCAAGUCUAUAUUCUGCAUGAGGAAAGAAAUUAUCCCAAUCUGUGGCCCCCCCCUGCCCCUGGCAAGACCACAGGACAUGUAUGAAAAUAUAAACUUCAGGGGCUGUGAAGGUUAUGACCUCAGCACUUCUCCCCAGGCACUUCUCGGUCUAUAUGGCAAGAACUUUGUGGGAUAUCUGGAGCAUAUUUUGGACAUUAUCUUCUCAGCAAGCACUUAAACCAAAUGAAUUAUCAUUUUAUUUCUAGAUAGUUUGUGGUUUUUAAAAAAAUGAUUACCAUUGUUAUAACAUUUUAAAAAAAAUACAGUAAUUAAAUUUUUUAAAAUACACUAAUGUUUAAAGAAGAAAAUGUUGAGUAUAAUAGCAAAAUCGAAAAACAUCACUUGUAUCAUUUUCUUUCUAUGGAUUUUAACAUAGUAGAGAUUAUUACCUAUAUACAAUCUGUCUUCUGCUUUGAAGCCCAGUGACCCCCCCCCACCCCAAGCAAUAAACUCCUAUUAGUAAAACUUCUUAAAAUAUUUAAAAGGCCAAAGCCAUUCUAUUCUAUGGCUGUAGGACCCUUUACUAGACAUUAUCGUGGGUUAUCUGUGUUUCCAAUUUUUAUUACUGUAUUAUAAAUAAUACUGCAGUGAACAUCUUUAAGCAUAAAACAGAGUUCCUAGAUUAAAGGGUAUGGCUAUUGUGAAGUCUCCUGACACAACUGUCAUGUUGUAGGCUGGAAAGGGUGCACCUGCCUUUACUUAUUUUUGUCAUGUUUCUUUAAGCCUCAGAGCAACAAUGUUUGAUAAAUAGGAGCUUAACAGCCAUCUUGGAGCUCAAACAUAAGAAGGAAAGAGGCAGAGUCAGCGUCCUCAUCCCCCGCUACUUUGUGGGAGUGGUUUAUUAUAGAGAGAGUGGGAGAAGGAAAACCAGGCACGGCAACUGCAAACAUGCUAAAUGAUUUCCAAGUCCAAAUAGAGAAGAAAACAGAUAGGGAGCUGAUGCAUUUAUACCGACUGACAUGUAAACCACAGGACAGGGACCACUGUUCCUAAAACCUGGCUGUCUAGAGCCUCAUUUUGCUCAUUCUCAAAUAAGGAAAAAGACUGAGACUUUUUCACAUAAACACAGGUAGAGAACUUCAGA